GAUGAACGCUGGCGGCGUGCCUAAUACAUGCAAGUCGAGCGAACAGACGAGGAGCUUGCUCCUCUGACGUUAGCGGCGGACGGGUGAGUAACACGUGGAUAACCUACCUAUAAGACUGGGAUAACUUCGGGAAACCGGAGCUAAUACCGGAUAAUAUAUUGAACCGCAUGGUUCAAUAGUGAAAGACGGUUUUGCUGUCACUUAUAGAUGGAUCCGCGCCGCAUUAGCUAGUUGGUAAGGUAACGGCUUACCAAGGCAACGAUGCGUAGACGACGUGAGAGGGGGGUCGGCCACCCUGGAAGUGAGACACGGACCAUACGCCUACGGGACGCAGCAGUAGGGAAUCUGCCGCAAUGGGGGAAAGCCUGACAGAGCAAGGCCGCGUGAGUGAUGAAGGUCUUCGGAUCGUAAAACUCUGUUAUGAGUGAAGAACAAAUGUGUAAGUAACUAUGCACGUCUUGACGGUACCUAAUCAGAAAGCCACGGCUAACUACGUG
This 497-nucleotide ribosomal RNA is filed under the name uncultured bacterium. RNAcentral describes it as "partial 16S ribosomal RNA". It matches the Rfam family "Bacterial small subunit ribosomal RNA", at positions 28 to 507 of the family's 1533-position model. The record is from RNAcentral.